CGGCGGACGGGUGAGUAAUGUCUGGGAAACUGCCCGAUGGAGGGGGAUAACUACUGGAAACGGUAGCUAAUACCGCAUAACGUCGCAAGACCAAAGAGGGGGACCUUAGGGCCUCUUGCCAUCGGAUGUGCCCAGAUGGGAUUAGCUAGUAGGUGGGGUAACGGCUUACCUAGGCGACGAUCCCUAGCUGGUCUGAGAGGAUGAUCAGCCACACUGGGACUGAGACACGGUCCAG
RNAcentral lists this ribosomal RNA (235 nucleotides) under uncultured bacterium. Its description in RNAcentral is "partial 16S ribosomal RNA". It matches the Rfam family "Bacterial small subunit ribosomal RNA", at positions 96 to 334 of the family's 1533-position model. The record is from RNAcentral.